AGGAUCAUUAUUGAAUAAGCUUGGUUGGGUUGUUGCUGGCUCUUCGGGGCAUGUGCACGCCUAACGCCAACCUUUUACCACCUGUGCACCUUUUGUAGACCUGGAUAUCUCUCGAGGAAAACUCGGUAUGAGGGCUGCUGUGCGUCAAAGCCGGCUUUCCUUACAUUUCCGGUCUAUGUCUUUAAUAUACACCAUUAGUAUGUCUAUGAAUGUUAUUAUCGGACUUGAUUGUCCAAUAAACCUUAUACAACUUUCAACAACGGAUCUCUUGGCUCUCGCAUCGAUGAAGAACGCAGCGAAAUGCGAUAAGUAAUGUGAAUUGCAGAAUUCAGUGAAUCAUCGAAUCUUUGAACGCACCUUGCGCUCCUUGGUAUUCCGAGGAGCAUGCCUGUUUGAGUGUCAUGAAAUUCUCAACCUUAUCGGCUUAUUCUUGAGUCGAUUUAGGCUUGGAUGUGGGAGUAUGCGGGCUUCUCUGAAGUCGGCUCUCCUUAAAUUCAUUAGUAGCAAUCUCUGUUGCAUUAGCUUUUGGUGUGAUAAUUAUCUACGCCAUCAUGUGAAGCAGCUUUUAAAUUGAGGUUACUGCUCUCUAACCGUCUCUUUUGGUGGGACAAUUUAUGACAUUUUGACCUCAAAUCA
This 636-nucleotide ribosomal RNA is filed under the name uncultured Tricholoma. Its description in RNAcentral is "eukaryotic LSU rRNA". The stretch from base 249 to 402 matches the Rfam family "5.8S ribosomal RNA". Lineage: Eukaryota; Fungi; Basidiomycota; Agaricomycetes; Agaricales; Tricholomataceae. The record is from RNAcentral.